Molecule: ribosomal RNA, 693 nt
Filed under: Protoachlya paradoxa
Lineage: Eukaryota; Oomycota; Saprolegniomycetes; Saprolegniales; Saprolegniaceae
Description: eukaryotic LSU rRNA
Rfam family: Eukaryotic large subunit ribosomal RNA
Source: RNAcentral
UAAGCGGAGGAAAAGAAACUAACAAGGAUUCCCCCAGUAACGGCGAGUGAAGCGGGAAGAGCUCAAGCUUAAAAUCUCCAUGUGUAAGCAUGGCGAAUUGUAGUCUAUAGAGGCUGUUGUCAGCACAGCGAUCUGGGAAAAGUCCCUUGGAAAAGGGCAGCACAGAGGGUGAUACUCCCGUCUUUGCUCAGAUCGUCUUGUGUGUACGAUACGCUUUCUUUGAGUCGAGUUGUUUGGGAAUACAGCUCAAAGUAGGUGGUAAAUUCCAUCUAAAGCUAAAUAUUGGUGCGAGACCGAUAGCGAACAAGUACCGUGAGGGAAAGAUGAAAAGAACUUUGAAAAGAGAGUUAAAGAGUACCUGAAACUGUUGAAAGGGAACCGUAUCGUUUCCAGUGUUAUAUCCUGUGCAUAUUUCAUUAGCGGAGCAAUUUGCUGGUGCCCUGUGCAUGGGUGUGACGUCAGAGUCAGUUUGUAUGCUGCGGGAGAUGGUCAGUGAGGAGGUGCUUCACUUCGGUGAAAGUUAUAUCUUGCUGUCUAGUAGCCGUGGUUGAGACUGAGGUGCCUACAACAUGCCUUGGGGUUCGGGGCUGUCUUGUUUUGGAAACUGCUUGGAUAGCUUGCUAUGUCUGUGGUUUUUCAGAGCAAUUGAUGGUGUCGAUAACCCCUGCUGUUCGGGACUCUGGCGAAAUGGAG